UGGGGAAUAUUGGACAAUGGGCAAAAGCCUGAUCCAGCCAUGCCGCAUGAGUGAAGAAGACCUUUGGGUUGUAAAGCUCUUUUAGUGAGGAAGAUAAUGACGGUACUCACAGAAGAAGUCCUGGCUAACUCCGUGCCAGCAGCCGCGGUAAUACGGAGAGGGCUAGCGUUAUUCGGAAUUAUUGGGCGUAAAGGGCGCGUAGGCUGGUUAGUAAGUUAAAAGUGAAAUCCCGAGGCUUAACCUUGGAACUGCUUUUAAAACUGCUAACCUAGAGAUUGAAAGAGGAUAGAGGAAUUCCUAGUGUAGAGGUGAAAUUCGUAAAUAUUAGGAGGAACACCAGUGGCGAAGGCGUCUAUCUGGUUCAAAUCUGACGCUGAGGCGCGAAGGCGUGGGGAGCAAACA
Molecule: ribosomal RNA, 402 nt
Filed under: uncultured bacterium
Lineage: Bacteria
Description: bacterial SSU rRNA
Rfam family: Bacterial small subunit ribosomal RNA
Source: RNAcentral